GCCCUCGCCGUGGGCGCACCCCGGUUUGUCACCGCGUGGCGUCUUCGCCAACGCUGGAACUGCAUUUCCCAAGAUGCACAAAAGCGUCGUCUGCGGCCUACUGGGCCUUGAUGGCGCUACUGUCGCGGGUUCGCUGAGCGCAUCAGGCUUUGGACUACAUUUCCCGGAAUGCACGAAGCGGCUUCCCAGUGGUCUCCGCGCGGACCCUGGGCAUGCGCAGACGUGCCGGGAAAGAGGAGGAGGAGGUGCCAUGGCGGCGUUGCGGUGGAGACCGAGGGAGGCCGGGUAUCGGCUGGGCAUUUGGUAGGUGGGGCCUCUGGAGCUCUAGAAGCUGGCAAGCGAAGAGGGGGAGGAGGAGACCAGGCUACAGUUCUGCGCCAAUCAGGAGUGCAGGCUACGUUUCCCUCCUUGAUUACGGAUUGCAAUUUUUUUUCUUGUCCUCCCUCUCCACCCGGGCAGAACUUAAGGAUCGAUGUCGGUUCCAGGAAUCAGGACGUUUGGAGCAGGGCCUGGGAUUCUGCAUUUCUGACGGGUCCGUGGAUGCUGCCAGUGCCUCCUCCCAGGGCCCAGCUAUGUCUGGGAGUAGAGAUGAAGGUUGAGCAUGUUUCUCCAAGCAAAGCACCCAGCAGAAUGUCCAGGACAUGAUGGAAACUCAGGAAGUCACUGUUGAUGAUCAUGCUGCAGCUGUUCCCGUCACUGGGCCUAGGGCCACACCCUCAGGAGGAAACCGUGAGGAAAGCUCUAAAGGAGCUGCAGCCCAUGCCCCCCACCAGGGACCUCCGACCUUCGAGAUUACUACAGAGCUGUGUGGCUGUUCCCCUCGCUCACCACUCAAUCAAUGUGCCAUCCAAAACGGGGCUUUCCUGGAAGACGUCUAGAGACACUCACUCAAGGAAAGGAAGAGUGGAACACCCAGCCCUCAGGAAGGUUAGGCAGAGAGGAGGCCGCUGCCUACGGCCUGGGCACAGAACUCAGCCGGGAUGUUGUUUCUCUCCAGCUCUCACCUCUCUGAGGCUUCAUUGUCUCCUCCUGCAGACUGGCUUCCUCCCCAUGGUGCGAAACAAGGCUGCCGUGAGCUUUGCAGCCUCUCACAUCUCGGCAUCUGGGCCAGAGCAGUGGACUCUCCAGAGAGAAGCAUCCAGAGAAAGCCACUGAUGGGCCACGUUGAGUGGGACGAAGCGGUUACAGCCACUCUGGAUUCUCUGCAGACUUACCGACACCCCUGCACCCAAUUUUAUUCAGUCUUGAGGAUUGAAAUUCCAUCUAGAUGCUGAUACAUCCCUGAAAGGGAGCUUUGCCGUUUUUGCUACCUAGCAGCUGAAAACUCUGUAUUAGUUAGGGAAGGCGGAAGCUGCUGUAACAAACCCACCCAUGGUAAUGGCACAUCACAUUACAGGGGUACUUCUUUUUCCUUUAAAAACAGUUUAAAGCGUAGAAAGAUAUACAUCUAUAUAUAUUACAAAAUUAAAUGUCUUAACUAUUUUUUUCCCUGGUGGGGGGAUGGAGUUUCACUCUUGUCACCCAGGCUGCAGUGCAGUGGCGUGAUCCUGGCUCACAGCAACCUCUGCCUAUCAGGUUCAAGCGAUUCUCCUGCCUCAGCCUCCCAUAUAGCUGGGACUACAGGCAUGCAACACUAUGCCCAGCUGAUUUUUGUAUUUUUAGUAGAAACGGGGUUUCACCAUCUUGGCCAGACUGGUCUCGACCUCCCAAAGUGCCGGGAUUACAGGUGUGAGCCACUGCACCUGGCCAUGGCUCAACUAUUUUUAGCUGUGCUGUUCAGUAGUGUUAAACCAUUGACAUCUUGUGCACCCACCACCCCCAUCCAUUUCCAGAACUCCUCUCAUCUUGCAAAACGGAAACUCUGUCUCCAAUAAACGCUAUCUCCCCAUUCCCUUCCCCCAGCCCCUGGCAACCCCCAUUCUACUUUCUGUCUCUAUGACUGUGACUCCUCUAGGUACCUCAUAUAAGUGGAAUCAUAGAGCAUUUGUCCUGUGUGACUGGCUUAUUUCUCUUACCAUCACGUCCUCAAGGUUCAUCCAUGUUGUAGCAUGUGUCAGAAUCGUCUUUCUUUUUAAGGCUAAAUAAUAUUCCAUUGUAUUUAUUUAUUUUUUUCUUUUCCCCCUCUAAGGUGUGUUAGCAAGUAGAGUAUUUAUUUUUAUUUUAUUUUCUUGAGACAGUCUGGCUCUGUCGCACAGGCUGGAGUGCAGAGGCGUGAUCUCGGCUCACUGUAGCCUCCACCUCUCGGGUUCAAGUGAUUCUCCUGCCUCAGCCUCCUGAGUAGCAGGGAUUACAGGCACCCACCACUGUGCCCUGCUAAUUUUUGUAUUUUUACAAAAUAGUAGUAAGACAGGGUUUCACCAUGUUGGCGAGGCUGGUCUCAAACUUCUGACCUCAUGAUCCUCCCGCCUCCGCCUCCCAAAGUGCUGGGAUUACAGGUAUGAGCCACUGUGCCCGGCCUGGGCAUACAUGUUUCUUAAGAGCCUUGGCUUGGAAGAGGCCUGUAUUACUUCCAUCCCAUCCCAUUGGCGAGAAGCAAUCACAAGGCCACGCUUAGACGCCAAGAGGAGUGGAAACCUAAGCCAUGGAUGGGAAGCAGCGUCCCGGGAAGGAUUUGGUACUGUGGAAGGGAAGGACAGAUGUUAACUGUGAACUGGCCAUGUCUGCUGCAACCCAUCCCACGUUUGGGAAACGUGCCGCUAUUGGUUUGGUUGUCUUAAGAGAGAGACUCAGAAUUAGCAAUGGUUUCAGUGAGUGUGAACGUGAUUUCUCUCCCGUAAGGUCUCAGCUGGCAGGGAGCCUCUCUCACGGAGCCAGGCAGUGUCCAGCUGGCUCCUUCUGUCUUGUUUCUCCUCCAUUCUCAGGGUUGGCUUCCACCUGGGGUGCCAAGGUAGCGGUUCCAGAUCUCGCCGUCAGGUUGUCAGUUUGCCCAGUGAGGAAGGGGCGUGAGCUGGGAGAGGGGGAGGCUGUCCCUCCCAACCACCAGGUCAUUGCAGGACACCCACCGAAUGAUCUGAUUCAGAGGAGCAGCAGCACGCGGCUUUUCCUACGCACGGCUUUCCUCGUGUGCGGUUCAUACCUUUCAUAGUUUGUGUCUAUUCUAAUAGCACUUCCCUCUGUUCUUUUUUCCUCUUUUUCUGAGACAGAGUCCCGUUCUGUUGCCCAGGCUGGAGUGCAGUGGGGUGAUCUCAGCUCACUGUAACCUCCGUCUCCUGGGUUCAAGUGAUUCUCCUGCCUCAGCCUCCCGAGUAGCUGUGAUUACAGGUGAGCGUCACCACACCCAUCUAAUUUUUGUAUCUUUAAGUAGAGACUGGGUUUCACCAUGUUGGUCAGGCUGGUCUCGAACGCCUGACCUCAAGCGAUCCAUCCACCUCGGCCUCCCAAAGUGCCGAGAUUACAGGCGUGAGCCACCAUGCCUGGCCACACGUCCUUAUGUUCUAAGGUAUAUUUAAAAAUUUACCUUUGUGAUACUUCAACGAGGGACGCAGACAUCUUCCUAUUGACACACAAAUUUAAUACAGCACGGUCGCCCCCACCCCACGGAAAGAUGCUAUUAAAUCAAUAAUGCACAUCUUAUGACUGAUGCUGACUGAGAUUUGAGGGUGCACAGUAGCCGCAGCAAUAGACUUUAAAUAACACUAAUAAGUAAUAAGGCCCACUAACAUUUGUGUGAGUUUACUACAAGGCCAGUAAUGAGUCCAGGUCCCCUGCGAACCCAGAUGCCUCAGUUACCGGAUGGAGAGUGCUGCGCUUGGGGGCGGGGGGGACACCGCCCUCGACACCCGGAGGUCUCCGCCUAACGGGCCCAGCCCGCACCGAUAAAGAAUUAGCAGCUUUUACACGUACUACUUCACAUGUGAUCUUACUUUUCCCCAUUUCGCAGAUGAGAAACUGAGGCUGAGAAAGGCGUUAUUCCACAAGCGAACUGUAGCUUCCUGUAUUUCUGACUCCCAAUAAAGGUGAUAAUAAAACAAUUAUAA
This is a non-coding RNA of Callithrix jacchus (white-tufted-ear marmoset), 3977 nucleotides long. Lineage: Eukaryota; Metazoa; Chordata; Mammalia; Primates; Cebidae. The record is from RefSeq and is a predicted model, not a curated record.